UGCCAUGUGCUGUGUGACAGUGGAUAUAUCUCCGGGAAACGGGGAGCUAAUACGCGAUCACUUCUGUCCCACCGCAUGGUCUGAUAGGAAGAGACUUUUGGUCACGUAUUAAUGGGGCAGCGGCGCAUUAUCUAGUUGGUGGGGUAACGGCCUACCACGGCGACGAUGCGGAGCCGACCUGAGAGGGUGAUCAGCCACACUGCGACUGAUACACGGCCCACACUCCUACGGGAGGCGGCAGUAGGGAAUCUUCUUCAGUGGAGGAGAAUCUGACGGAGCAACACCGCGUGAACGAUGAUGGUUUUCUGAUCAUAAAAUUCUGUUGUUGUGAAAGAACAGCCGGUAUGAUCUCACGGUCUGACGAUACCGAAGGAGAAAACCCCGGCUAACUACGUGCCAUCAGCCGCGGCAAUACGAAUGGGGCAAGCGUUGUCCGGAUUUAUUGGACUUAUAGCGCGCACAGGCGGCUUCUUAGGUUUCGUGUGAAUGCCCACGCCUCCCCCGGGAAGGGCCACUUGAAACUGUGAAACUUGAGUACCUGAGAUGAGAACGAAAUUACACGUGUACCAGUGAUAUGCGUAAAUUGUGGAGGAUCACCAGGAGCGAAGGCGGCUCUCUCGCCUGUAACUGAUGCUGAUGCGCCUAAGCGUGGGAG
RNAcentral lists this ribosomal RNA (655 nucleotides) under Aneurinibacillus sp. RNAcentral describes it as "bacterial SSU rRNA". It matches the Rfam family "Bacterial small subunit ribosomal RNA", at positions 119 to 767 of the family's 1533-position model. The record is from RNAcentral. Lineage: Bacteria; Bacillati; Bacillota; Bacilli; Caryophanales; Paenibacillaceae.